AGGGGGCUUCGCCGCCUACCGAAUCCAACCGAACUCCGAAUGCCGGCGGCCCAGAGCGCGGCAGUCAGAGCAUGUGGGCUAAGCUGUGUGCUCGAGAGGGAAACAGCCCGGACCGCCCGCUAAGGUCCCCAAGUUCCAGCCGAGUGGCAAAGGAUGUGCGUCCGCCCAGACAACCAGGAUGUUGGCUUAGAAGCAGCCAUGCAUUCAAAGAGUGCGUAACAGCUCACUGGUCGAGUGGACAUGCGCCGACAAUACACGGGGCUAAGCUGGACACCGAAGCGGCGGGAUUUUAUCUAUAUAGAAUCGGUAGGGGAGCUUCCCAUGGGCGGUGAAGCCGCCGGGCGACCGGCGGUGGAGCGCAUGGGAGUGAGAAUGCUGGCAUGAGUAGCGAGAGACGAGAGAGUAACUCGUCCGCCGUGAACCCGAGGUUUCCUGGGCAAGGCUAAUCCUCCCAGGGUCAGUCGGGGGCUAAGGCGAGGCCGGAAGGCGUAGCCGACGCGCAGCAGGCAGACAUUCCUGCACCGCGCACGCGGCGCUACGACCGACGGGGCGACGGAUGGGGGUGGCUCGGCGGGGUUCUGGACGUCCCCGUGAUGGAGCGCGGCCCGCGGACCAGGGAAAUCCGGUCCGCACGAGGGCGAGGCUCCGGACGAAGCGAUCAAGCGAAGCGAGUGAGCCCGAGGUCCCUAGAAAAACCCCUAGGCAGGCGCGUGCGCGCCCGUACCGCAAACCGACACAGGUGGGUGGGUAGAACAUACCGAGGCGAUCGGGUCAACCAUGGUCAAGGAACUCGGCACAAUGGCCCCGUAACUUCGGGAGAAGGGGUGCCCGCGCGUACGUGAACGGACUUGCUCCGGGAGCGGAGGCGGGCCGCAGUGGAGAGGCCCAAGCGACUGUUUACCAAAAACACAGGACUCUGCAGAAGCCGCAAGGCGACGUAUAGGGUCUGACGCCUGCCCGGUGCCGGAAGGUCACGCGGAGGAGUUAGCCGCAAGGCGAAGCCCCGAAGCCAAGCCCCGGUAAACGGCGGCCGUAACUAUAACGGUCCUAAGGUAGCGAAAUUCCUUGUCGGGUAAGUUCCGACCUGCACGAAAGGCGCAACGACUUGGGCGCUGUCUCGACCAUGGACCCGGUGAAAUUGCACUGGUCGUGAAGAUGCGACUUACCCGCGGAAGGACGGAAAGACCCCGUGAACCUUCACUGCAGCUUGGCAUUGGCCGCUGGUCCCGCGUGUAGAGGAUAGGCAGGAGGCACAGAUCCGGAGGCGCCAGCCCCCGGGGAGCCGCCCUUGGAAUACUGCCCUCGCGCGACCGGCGUCCUAACCCGAGGCCGUCAACCGGCUCGGGGACCGUGCCAGGCGGGCAGUUUGACUGGGGCGGUCGCCUCCUAAAGGGUAACGGAGGCGCGCGAAGGUCCGCUCGGGACGGUCGGCAACCGUCCUUUUGAAUGCAAGAGUACAAGCGGGCUUGACUGCGAGGCCCACAAGCCGAGCAGGUGCGAAAGCAGGCUCUAGUGAUCCGGCGGCCCCGAGUGGGUGGGCCGUCGCUCAACGGAUAAAAGGUACUCCGGGGAUAACAGGCUGAUCUUGCCCAAGAGUCCACAUCGACGGCAAGGUUUGGCACCUCGAUGUCGGCUCAUCGCAUCCUGGGGCUGGAGAAGGUCCCAAGGGUUGGGCU
Molecule: ribosomal RNA, 1676 nt
Filed under: human gut metagenome
Description: bacterial LSU rRNA
Rfam family: Bacterial large subunit ribosomal RNA
Source: RNAcentral